UGACACUAUGAACACAGAGGACAAGGUAGACGGGGCUGGGAAGACAAGACGAACCGACAAGGACAGAGGGGAAACACACAGACUUAAAUACUAGACAAGAUUACACACAGGUGAAACAAAUCAGGGCGGGGCAGACAAUCAACAAAAGGCGGGAAAACAAACAAAGGAGGGAAGUAAAACCAG
Molecule: long non-coding RNA, 183 nt
Organism: Sebastes umbrosus (honeycomb rockfish)
Lineage: Eukaryota; Metazoa; Chordata; Actinopteri; Perciformes; Sebastidae
Exons: 3
Source: RefSeq, a predicted model, not a curated record